Molecule: ribosomal RNA, 487 nt
Filed under: Fusarium culmorum
Lineage: Eukaryota; Fungi; Ascomycota; Sordariomycetes; Hypocreales; Nectriaceae
Description: SSU rRNA
Rfam family: Bacterial small subunit ribosomal RNA
Source: RNAcentral
GUGGCAAGUCUUCCAGUAUGGGGAGCAAACAGCUAUGGGUCAAGCCCGAUACCUUUAAGAGAAGUCUUAUUGUGAGGGCGAGUUGUAUAACACCAUAGGGCUGGCCGUCCCAUAUGAAAAGAUUUUAUUAGAAUUGAAUGAAACUUUGUUUAUAUAUUGAUAAUGACAGUAUAUAUAUCGUGUCUUGACUAAUUGCGUGCCAGCAGUCGCGGUAAUACGUAAGAGACUAGUGUUAUUCAUCUUAAUUAGGUUUAAAGGGUACCCAGACGGUCUAUAUAGCUUAUAAAAUGUUAGUAUAAGACUAGAGUUUUAUGUAAGAGGGCAGUACUUGAGGAGGAGAGAUGAAAUUUCGUGAUACCAAAGGGACUCUGUAAAGGCGAAGGCAGCCCUCUAUGUAAAAACUGACGUUGAAGGACGAAGGCACAGAGAACAAACAGGAUUAGAUACCCAAGUAGUCUUUGCAGUAAAUGAUGAAUGCCAUAGGUUA